GAUCAGUUUGCGGCGAGUUCCCUUGCAUAUUCCUAACCAAACGAAAACGAUUUCUGGAGUACUGGUCCAAUGCCUGUACAGUGUACACAUUACAGCAACUCUCAAUGCUGAACUAAGGAGGCCAAUUCAACAGCCUGUCUGAUGUCCGACAGAGUUUUUGGUUUGAAAUUGGCACUGAUUUAUGAUACAGAUAGCACUAAUAGAAGUGUGUUGUAUGUUAAUAGUUCAACUGUUCAAGGAAUGAACACUACUAUUAUUAUGCAUGCAAGGCUAGAGAUGAAAUGGUCACAAGAUCAAACAGCUUAAUUUUCUAAUCCCAUGUGUCAACUCCGGAUGGUUCAGUUAUACUUCAUACUGAAAUGCUAUCCUGAAAAUGGAAGAAACUUACUCCUACUCGGUAUUUGCACCAACCCUGGAAUGGAGAAAGCAAGGCUGAAGAUCCAGAGUCUUCUUGAAUGCAUGAAUCAGGCGUCAUCUCUCACUUUCCUACUUGAACAUAUAAUAUCUUCUGCUAAAAUUGUUGUACCUGUUGAUGUGGUUUGCUAAUGGACCGCUAAAUGAAGAUGUGAAAUUGAAACUCUGCAGAGAUACAAGAGUUGGAGAUCCUCAAGAAAGGAACUUGCAGAAGAAAGAAAUCGUUGAUCUCUCACCUGCAAUACAACGAUAUCCAGAUCACUAGAGAAAAUACAACCAACAGAUCUUCCGGUGAAUUCCAUUGUUCAGCAGCCAUUCUAAC
Molecule: unclassified non-coding RNA, 736 nt
Filed under: Hevea brasiliensis (rubber tree)
Lineage: Eukaryota; Viridiplantae; Streptophyta; Magnoliopsida; Malpighiales; Euphorbiaceae
Source: RNAcentral